CCUACGGGGGGCAGCAGUGGGGAAUAUUGCACAAUGGGGGAAACCCUGAUGCAGCGACGCCGCGUGAGUGAAGAAGUAUUUCGGUAUGUAAAGCUCUAUCAGCAGGGAAGAAGAAAGACGGUACCUGACUAAGAAGCCCCGGCUAACUACGUGCCAGCAGCCGCGGUAAUACGUAGGGGGCAAGCGUUAUCCGGAUUUACUGGGUGUAAAGGGAGCGUAGACGGCUGUGCAAGUCUGAAGUGAAAGCCCAGGGCUCAACCCUGGGACUGCUCUGGAAACUGCCAGGCUGGAGUGCAGGAGAGGUAAGUGGAAUUCCUAGUGUAGCGGUGAAAUGCGUAGAGAUUAGGAGGAACACCAGUGGCGAAGGCGGCUUACUGGACUGUAACUGACGUUGAGGCUCGAAAGCGUGGGGAGCAAACAGGAGUAGAUACCCGGGUAGUC
Molecule: ribosomal RNA, 441 nt
Filed under: uncultured bacterium
Lineage: Bacteria
Description: partial 16S ribosomal RNA
Rfam family: Bacterial small subunit ribosomal RNA
Source: RNAcentral